Molecule: long non-coding RNA, 549 nt
Filed under: Strigops habroptila (Kakapo)
Lineage: Eukaryota; Metazoa; Chordata; Aves; Psittaciformes; Psittacidae
Description: lncRNA (ENSSHBG00005006408.1)
Source: RNAcentral
GGAGGCAUUCUGCCAGCGGGCACCCAUCUUCCUUGACUACCUGCAGAGCAUCCUGCAGAAGUACCCCGAUGGGGGGCAGAUCCUCAAGGAGCUGGUGCAGAACGCUGACGAUGCCGGCGCUAAGGAGGUCGUGUUCGUGUCUGAUGAGCGGGAGUUCAACAUCACCACAGGAGGGCUGGAGGGCACCCAGGGCCCAGCUCUCCUGGCUUACAAUGAUGCCCUGAUGUCGCCACGGGACUGGGCAGGGAUCCUGAGCCCAGGGGUGUCACACAAGCGGAAGGACCCCAGCACCGUGGGGCGGUUUGGCCUGGGCUUCACCUCCGUCUACCACCUCACCGGGAGCUCCUGCCCAGCCUGGCUGGGUCCUUCCUGCCCUCAGACCUGGAGCCAGGCUUGGACAGCCUCCUGCGAGGCAUUGCCAAGGCGGGUCUCUUCCCCAACCUGGUUCUGCUGGACCCAGCCGUGACUGCCCAGACCCUGCGCUUGGCUCUGCCCCUUGCCUGGACUUCCCAGUCUUCAACCCCAGUGACCUGGUACCCAGCCCAAGGC